This 61-nucleotide transfer RNA is filed under the name Chudania hellerina. RNAcentral describes it as "tRNA-Ala". The record is from RNAcentral. Lineage: Eukaryota; Metazoa; Arthropoda; Insecta; Hemiptera; Cicadellidae.
AGGAUUAUAUUUAACAAUAAUAUUUGAUUUGCAUUCAAAAGGUAUCUUAUGAUUAAUCUUA